RNAcentral lists this long non-coding RNA (715 nucleotides) under Homo sapiens (human). Its description in RNAcentral is "HSALNT0130646". The record is from RNAcentral. Lineage: Eukaryota; Metazoa; Chordata; Mammalia; Primates; Hominidae.
AGCGAAGGGGCCGUGAGGUCAACAGUCGGUAAUCGUUUAUCGGUGCGGCCUUAGAGAAAGGACCUCCAAGCCCUUGUUCAAUACAUGUUGGGUGGUGGUCACAGGUGCCAGUCUCCGGACGGAUGGCGGCCUAGAUUUCCUCCCGGACUCGGUGGCACCCAAGGCCCCCUGCACGCCGGCGCUGUGCGUGCCAGGCUGACCGCCCGAGUGCGACCCGGACCUCGUCCGCACGUGCAGAUGGAAGGGGCCACAAAGACGAUAAGGAUCCAGGUCUCCCGCGUGGAAGGCUCAUCUAUCGACAGAACCUCCACUCAAUACACCAGAAAACAGAGAGUAUCUUGCAGAAAUUAUGUUCGAAUCAUUUAACGUUCCAGGACUCUACAUUGCAGUUCAGGCAGUGCUGGCCUUGGCGGCAUCUUGGACAUCUCGACAAGUGGGUGAACGUACAUUAACGGGGAUAGUCAUUGACAGCGGAGAUGGAGUCACCCAUGUUAUCCCAGUGAAGGUUAUGUAAUUGGAAGCUGCAUCAAACACAUCCCGAUUGCAGGUAGAGAUAUUACGUAUUUCAUUCAACAGCUGCUAAGGGAGAGGGAGGUGGGAAUCCCUCCUGAGCAGUCACUGGAGACCGCAAAAGCCAUUAAGGAGAAAUACUGUUACAUUUGCCCCGAUAUAGUCAAGGAAUUUGCCAAGUAUGAUGUGGAUCCCCAGAAGUGGA